UCCUCGCGACAAACACAAACCCCGGCGCUUCGUGCGCCAAGGAACUCAAAUCUGUUAAGUGCGACUCCCGGGGGCCCGGAGACGGUGUCCCGCGGGAGUCGUCACGACACAACAUUUACAUACAAUGACUCUCGGCAACGGAUAUCUCGGCUCUUGCAUCGAUGAAGAACGUAGCGAAAUGCGAUACUUGGUGUGAAUUGCAGAAUCCCGUGAACCAUCGAGUCUUUGAACGCAAGUUGCGCCCGAAGCCAUUAGGCCGAGGGCACGCCUGCCUGGGUGUCACACAUCGUUUCCCCAACGCAAACAUGUAACAAUGUUGCUGCGCGGGGUGUAUGCUGACCUCCCGCGAGCACCCGCCUCGUGGUUGGUUGAAAUCUGGGUUCAUGGCCGACUUCGCCGUGAUAAAAUGGUGGAUGAGCCACGCUCGAGACCAAUCACGUGCGAGCCGGUCAGUUCUGGACCCAUCGACGACCCUUUGCGUGCACGCACGCUCCCAACGAGACCUCAGGUCAGGCGGGGCUACCCGCUGAG
RNAcentral lists this ribosomal RNA (531 nucleotides) under embryophyte environmental sample. RNAcentral's name for it is "eukaryotic LSU rRNA". The stretch from base 127 to 282 matches the Rfam family "5.8S ribosomal RNA". The record is from RNAcentral. Lineage: Eukaryota; Viridiplantae; Streptophyta.